CCUACGGGGGGCAGCAGUAGGGAAUCUUCCACAAUGGGCGCAAGCCUGAUGGAGCAACACCGCGUGAGUGAAGAAGGGUUUCGGCUCGUAAAGCUCUGUUGUUGGAGAAGAACGUGCGUGAGAGUAACUGUUCACGCAGUGACGGUAUCCAACCAGAAAGUCACGGCUAACUACGUGCCAGCAGCCGCGGUAAUACGUAGGGGGCAAGCGUUAUCCGGAUUUAUUGGGCGUAAAGCGAGCGCAGGCGGUUGCUUAGGUCUGAUGUGAAAGCCUCCGGCUUAACCGAAGAAGUGCAUCGGAAACCGGGGAACUUGAGUGCAGAAGAGGACGGUGGAACUCCAUGUGUAGCGGUGGAAUGCGUAGAUAUAUGGAAGAACACCAGUGGCGAAGGCGGCUGUCUGGUCUGCAACUGACGCUGAGGCUCGAAAGCAUGGGUAGCGAACAGGAUUAGAUACCCUGGUAGUC
RNAcentral lists this ribosomal RNA (465 nucleotides) under uncultured bacterium. Its description in RNAcentral is "partial 16S ribosomal RNA". It matches the Rfam family "Bacterial small subunit ribosomal RNA", at positions 338 to 795 of the family's 1533-position model. The record is from RNAcentral.